AGGGAGGAGGGAUGGGCGGAGCCAGAGCAAAAGCAGUCACCCAAUCAGAGGGAAACCUUGGCGCCAGCUUCCCUGUCCCCGCCCUUUUCCUUUCCUCCGCGGCAGUGCGCGGUCUCCCGCCCACUGGGCGCCGCUGGCUAGCUCCGCCACAGAGAAAAGCCUCCAGCCGGGUAGAGAAACGACUCCCAGUCGGAAGUUACGGUUGAAGCCCAGGCAGCCAUAAUUGAUGAUGGCAGGAGGCGUUUCCUGUCACCCGUUUGACGUACGCUUUUCCUGCAUUUGGUUCCCCGUUACCCCAGGCAACAGCAGAGCCGUCUGGAAAGGGAUGCACCUGUAAGUAUACUUACGGAGGAUGUGCACACACACAGUCCACACUGGGCGAGUUAAUUCGCGCUCGGGAACUGCAGGUUUGCUUGCCAGACCCUUUACGGAGCCGCCUGAUCGCUUACCUAGAACUACAGUUUAGGGCUUCAAAACUCCCUCGCGCCGGAAGUUGCGCUUGGCACUUCCUAGUAGGGUCAUGGCCAGGAGGUGGGAGUAGCCGGACCCCGCCUGCGCCCCAGGGGGUGCCUCCUCUCCCAGAGCUGAAGAGUGAGACAUUGUCUCAUGUAGUUCCUUCUGUGGACGUUUGGAGUCAAGAAGUCAAUCGUUCUGAUAACUACAGAUCGGAUUCCUAAAGGUGCAAGAAAAAAAAAAAAGAACAAUUUUCAGAGCAGAGAGAACAGGAAUAAAGUCUGAAGAUAAGUUCUGCA
RNAcentral lists this long non-coding RNA (752 nucleotides) under Mus spicilegus (steppe mouse). RNAcentral describes it as "lncRNA (ENSMSIG00000031296.1)". The record is from RNAcentral. Lineage: Eukaryota; Metazoa; Chordata; Mammalia; Rodentia; Muridae.